GCCUGCAGAUGUGAUCCGGCGAGAUCGGCCUCUCUUCCCUGACCACGGCGUCCCCCCGCGCCCCUCUUCCUCCACCAUGCCGGCACGUCGCCAACCCUAUAGGAGGCCCUCGCCCUUCUGCUCUCCUCAGCCUCUCUCUCUGCGCGAAGCUCCUACUCCCACACCCCUGCGGUGAAGGAGUCCCUGCGCCGGCGUUCGGGUCCCCUGCGGCGUGCAGUGUUCUAGCCGGACGGACGAAGAUGACAGCAGGAUGGUCGAUCGUGGGGGAUCUCGCGCCGGGGAGAAGGCCGUGCAGGUGGAGCUCUCCAGCGGAAGUGUCGGCUGGGGCAAGACCCCCGACAUGGCCUCCGUAACAGCCCCUUGGCGCCGUGCUCGAUGACUUCGGUCACGUCGCCGGCGCACUCUCUGGACACGCCUUCGCCUCGGUAGGUAUUGAUGCACCACAGCUGGACUAAAAGUGUAUGGGCGCAUCGAGGAUUACGUACCCUAAUUAGGGGCUCUUGUCAUGUCAAUCACCGAGCUUAGUAGGUAACAGGCUUAAUGUUGAGUUUCUCUUUCGAUAUCGGUGUGGUGACCAGCCACUUUUACAUGGAAGCAGUUAAGCCCUCAAGCUUUAGCAAAAGGCCCUCUAAGCACAUUACCUCCAAUUUGAGAAUUGACGUCAAAAGGUGACCGCAAGAGAGAGAGCAGGGAUGUAACUUGUGUGUGAGCUUGUGCUGAAUGGAAGAGUGGCUGACCUAGCCAAGAAAUUCAUGGUCCCGUAGUAAUAUUAAUCAUCAAAAUUAGUAGUAAUAUUAAUCAUCAAAAUUAAUUUUUUUCUUUUAUAUUUUGUUAGUGUCCUUCAUAUGAUCAUGAAGGGGCCCAAAUCCCAGGUGGUCCGGACCACCCUGGCCACCCCCUAGAUCCGUCACUGGCCUGGGUGUGAGAUUGUGCUUAAUGCAAGAAAAACUUGCCCACACAAGGCCUAGAUCAACAGUACUUUUUUCGGCUACGGCUGGCAGACAAUCUCUCUUCUGAUCUAACAUCAACGAUAUGGCAAGGUCGGUAGCACACACAAGAACUUCAAUACUAGCAUGCAUUAAUUGCUGUACUCUGUUUCUCUUCUUAAUAAAGUUCGGCCGCAGGCCCUUCAAUAUUUCCAUUGUUGGAUCUUAAUUGAGCAAUCAUGUUGUAGGCUUGUAGCCAAUAUCUCUGCAUUUUGAAGUUAAUUUCAAUUUAAGUCAUGUUGAUUAGUUCAGUAUUUUUGUAUAUUUACCGGCCUGUGAGAAGCUCUAUUUCUCUUCACAGAAGAGGUAACUAGAUAUUUCCCGCUUUGCUGGUUCAAAAGGUUGAUAUUGGAUUCUUAUGUCUUUUUUUAUUGUUGCCAUUUUAAACUGGCUGGAUCGCAGUGGGAGACAGGACACACUCUCCGAAGUGAUAGCUGGUGUUACAUCUCCCCUUGAGAUUGAUUUUUUUUUUUUUGCACAAGUGCUCAUUCUGCAACUAAGCAUACUUUCACCUCAAUGUUAUAUGCACAGCAAGCUUUUUAUUUCCAAAACUGAAUUGUUCGUGGGAGUGAAUAAAUACUUUUGUCAUUUAAUUCAUGUUAGGGUAAUCUAACAAGGAGAAGAAAGCAAUGAGCUAAUUAGUAUUGGACCUAGGAGAUGAAGCAAAGCUAAUUAGUAUUGGACCUAGGAGAUGAAGCAACACGCGAGGAAUUGAGAAUUCUUUGUGCUUUCCAGCAUGUCUAUAGGCAAGUGGUUUUGUCUGCUAUUGUUAUAAAUUGUUACUCACUCCAAUCCAUUAUAAGUGUCAACUUUGUACUAAGUUUAGUAUAAAAUCUGAGACAUUUAUUCUGAGGGAGUACUAUUAUUUCCAGGCAAAAUAAUAUAUACUAUUGUUAUUGUUUUCUUUUCUUUUCAAAUCCAAACUAUCAAUAUUUCAGUGAUCUAUACCUCCACUGUGACAAAAGUUUGAUGUCGGCAUGGAGCGCCUGAAGCUUCCUGGGGAUGAAGAGCAAGCUCAUCGUUGUAACUCUCUUGGUUAAAUCUUUCUUUUGACGAAAACGGCAGCGCCGAUUGCGCAGAGCUAGGGAGCUGACAACCAGAGAAAACAGCUAACUAAACUAAACCGCUAAGAGCUAAGAGGCUACUUUGAUUAAUAGACUUUUACACAAUGACAUCAUUCACCUAUAAAACAACUCUUCACUCGAAAAUUUAAUGAAUUAUAUUAGGAUGUGUGCGUCAAUAAAUGUCUUCUUUUCAAAAGAGAAGGAAAAUAACUAUUUAUGUGAACCGGAGAUUGUAGGUUUGUUGACAAAUCCAUCAUCAUUUAGUUUUGAAAUUCAAACGCUUGUGGCUCACUACUAAUUUUGUUUUCUUUCAUUUCUCUAAAGAACAAACAUGUUUUUAUAUCCCUGAUAAGAUCUAUCACAUGUGCCUAUUUUAAAACAUAUCAUGAUGUCCAGGUUCGUGUCUAGAAUCAUGGCAACAUGGCACGGGGUCAAUUUCUGAGCCAUUUCAAUCCUGAUAUAUGUUCAUGGUGUAUCUUGAUCUUGCGGACAGAUCAGAAUUAAAUAUCUCUUCUUCUGUUAAGAAGCAAACCAAUUUUGGAUUAUUCUUAUCUAUUCAUUCUUUUGUAUCUAUUGAAUUUGCACAUUCUUGUAUGUGCAUUCAUGUAUUCUGGCAUGUGGGUGUCCCAGUACAAACAUGCUGAUAUAGUUGUAUACCCCGUGGGCAUGGCGUAGUAAGGGAAGAAAAGCUAACUUCUUGAGGGUUCAUAUUGGUUCAUGAAUCCAUAUAUUAUGAGUUUGUGUUGUUUCAUGGGGUAAAAGAAUUCAGCUCCACUAUUGUUUUCUCCCAAGAAAGAAGAGUUACGUUGUUGUUGUACAAGUCAUUAGGAUCUGUAUGCAAAAUCACUUGCGGUGGGUAUUUUGUUUCUAGGUAAUUCAUUAGAUCUUCCCAGCGAUGCUAUUGUGCAAUGCAACCACAUCAGAUUUUACUUCAUUUUUCUAUAGUAGAAAACAUACUUAUCAUACAUUAUUUAUCAUACAUUAUGUGACAUACAAUGUCUUCAUCUGAGACAUGAGAUCUGCUUAUAGUUAAACAAAAUCCAUGAAUGAAUACAAUGUCUUCAUCUGAGACAUGAGAUCUGCUUAUAGUUAAACAAAAUCCAUGAAUGAAUUCAGUAUUAGAAGAGAAACACCUCCUGGUGUGGUGGUAGAGUUGUGGGUGUAUCUUCAACCAACCAUGGUUCAAAUCCUGGUGUUCAUAGUUAGUUAGGGCUAUCCAACUAAAAGUACGAAUGGUAGGUGACCCAUGCAUAAGCAAAAAUAUGGCAACAGCGUGAUUUAUUGAUUGACGAUUUUGCGAACGGCGCAAAAAUAUGGCAACAUGGUGACGAUUUUACGAACGGCGCAACGCGCGUACACAGCUAGUAAAAUAUCUAAUUUUGACAUGAUUUAUCUAAAAUUGUGUGUUUUGCCUAGAUUUAACAUGAAUCGACUGAUUUCAUAUAAAUCAUCCAUGAAUGUUUCGGAACAAUUAAACAAAAAAGUUGAUGACCAUAGGCUACAAUUAACACUAAGGAGCGGUAUCUUAUCUAAUUCAUACAUCAAAAAUCAUAAAAUUCCAACUGAGGAAAACUAAGAUCUCAGAUCGGGCGCCCGGAACCCUUGCGUGGCCGCCGCGGAGGAGAAUCUUCGGGAAGGGUCUGUGGAGGAGAAGGAGAAGCAGCAGGCUGGGGGAGUACGCAGAUCCGGCGAAGCCUUGAAGGCGGAGCUCGGUCGGGCUUUGCCGGUCGUCGGCCGACGGAGCAGGCGCGGCGGCGGGUCAGUGGAAGGGACGGAGACGGAGGAGAAAGAGGAGGGGCCGGUGGAGGAGAAGUAGGGAAACGUGGGGAGGAGGCAGUCUCCGUCACAGAUCAGGCUAGGGCGGGCCGACGGCGCGCCCGGGCGGCGGUGGACCUCUGUCGGCCAGCGCUUACUCGCCCUUGGUGACGUGCGCUCGGGAGUCGGGUGAGGGGAGGGGAAGACAGAGGAGAAAACGGUUCGGCAGAUAUUUUCCCCCUUGGGCAGUUUGGACUUAAAUAACAAAUAAAUGGCAAGGGCAAAGGGGCGUGGGAAUUUGUUCCAUCUCCAGCACAAACAAGACCACC
This 4134-nucleotide long non-coding RNA is filed under the name Brachypodium distachyon (stiff brome). Its description in RNAcentral is "long non-coding RNA (BDIS_LNC003017)". Lineage: Eukaryota; Viridiplantae; Streptophyta; Magnoliopsida; Poales; Poaceae. The record is from RNAcentral.